Molecule: long non-coding RNA, 1316 nt
Organism: Neofelis nebulosa (Clouded leopard)
Lineage: Eukaryota; Metazoa; Chordata; Mammalia; Carnivora; Felidae
Exons: 2
Source: RefSeq, a predicted model, not a curated record
GUGGGGGCUGGGGUCGCCACCAAGGGAACUCGGGGCGACAAAAAGAAACGUAAUACUUGACUCGCCGGCAAUGCCCCCUCAGCACUGCCACGAGCUCACGAUCGUCCAGCCCUCCGACGGCUCGGCGAGGUAGGUUAGGGGCAGCGGGCUUCCGGCUUCCCCGGCUGCCCCGCGAGGCGGGCGGCGGCUCUGCUGGAGAGCUGGGAUCGCUCCGCCAGCCAACACUGUCACUCGCGGGGUGACAGGUCUCUGCGUUAAAAGAUUUGCAUAUGCUAAAUAGGAUUGUCAGCAGCUGAAGAGGCCCCCGGGGGGAAUUGGACUAGAAAAAGUAUUUUUCCCUGAAAAGGCCUUCUCACAAGACCCGUGGACGGCCUGGACCCUGCCCCGGACUGUCCCGUGGGCGGGUGCCACCAGGACCCCAGGCUGAGCCAGAGUGGCUGGUCCGGGGCCACGCCGCUCUCUUCCCCAAGGAAGCCCACAGUCCAGGCUCCCCCCAGGGCAGGGAACAGUUUGACCACCCCAAGGCUCCUUCCUUCCCGGCACAGGGCCCGUGAUGCCCUCCCUGCUCCAUCUGGAGCGUCGCUGGGCACCGCGCGGGAGAUCCCCCCUCCCCACACCCGCACACAAGGUGAGAGGCGGAAAGGUCUGGAAAGAGAGCCCUGGUCAUGACAACAGAUUCCCUUCUUCACACGGCUGGAGCCUGUUCAGCUUCUCAGCCCUAACGGUGCCGGGCUCAGACUUCUCUUCCCGGCCUGUGGGGCAGGGCCUGCCGGGUUUGGGAGCUGGGAUAAGCUGGGGGCCAGGCUGUGCAUGGGGCUGGUUCCCUUGUGCCCUUCACCUUAAUGUUAAUACUCUUGCAGAAGACCGGGCCCUCCUGGGAAGAAAAGGCAACAUCAGUGCCCAGGACCGGCCCUGAGACCCGGGCCAUUCCCUCCUGGAAGCUUUUCCGUUUCGUAGACGUGACCCCAGUAUGGCCUGCAUAAAAACACGGGCGGCAAACAGGACCCUGGGGACCACGGAAGGCCAGAGUGAGCGCCCACUGACAAGAACCCCUCUGCCUGACACGUGCCUGAGGGGAGCCGGGGCCACGCGUGGCCCGCAAGGGGGUCGGCCCUCCUGGCAGCACAGCCCAAGCAGCAGGGGAAACCCCUUCUGGGUUUCACUUCUGCUUUGAGAACAGACCUCCAGCAGCUCCACAGACACUCCCGUUUGGAGUGAAGAAAAGGCAGAGUGAAUUACUGCCGACGUCCAUGGAAAAAACGUUAGUUCUUUGCCCGAGUAAAAAAAUAUCAAAUAUAAUAAAUUUAUGAAAGCCC